GUAGGUGGCAAGCGUUGUCCGGAAUUAUUGGGCGUAAAGCGCGCGCAGGUGGUUCUUUAAGUCUGAUGUGAAAGCCCCCGGCUCAACCGGGGAGGGUCAUUGGAAACUGGGGAACUUGAGUGCAGGAGAGGAAAGUGGAAUUCCACGUGUAGCGGUGAAAUGCGUAGAUAUGUGGAGGAACACCAGUGGCGAAGGCGACUUUCUGGCCUGUAACUGACACUGAGGCGCGAAAGCGUGGGGAGCAAACAGGGAUUAGAUACCCUGGUAGUCCACGCCGUAAACGAUGAGUGCUAAGUGUUGGGGGGGUUUCCGCCCCCUCAGUGCUGCAGUUAACGCAUUAAGCACUCCGCCUGGGGAUACGGUCGCAAGACUG
This 373-nucleotide ribosomal RNA is filed under the name uncultured organism. RNAcentral describes it as "partial 16S ribosomal RNA". It matches the Rfam family "Bacterial small subunit ribosomal RNA", at positions 527 to 896 of the family's 1533-position model. The record is from RNAcentral.